Long non-coding RNA from Coregonus clupeaformis (lake whitefish), 1847 nucleotides. RefSeq lists it as uncharacterized. The transcript is spliced from 3 exons. The record is from RefSeq and is a predicted model, not a curated record. NCBI's taxonomy places the organism in Eukaryota, Metazoa, Chordata, Actinopteri, Salmoniformes, Salmonidae.
UUCCAUUUUUUUUUUUUUUUUUAAAUACACCUAACAGACCUGACCUCAUUUCUAUUUGUGCGCCACCAAUACAACCCUAGCUAUACAACACAAGUAGGAUCAAUCUCUGCUCAAUCAACAGACCUUGUUGAACAACAAUGCUCAAUCAAACGUCAUGUGCUAGGCUGACAGGCUGCCAUAUAAUGGAUAGCCUGUAGUUCCAGAGUUAGUCUAUGCUAGUGUCCUGUCCUCUGAACACCAAAAGUAGGCCUAGCUACACCACCCACUUGUCAACAAGACAGAUAGCAAACUAGUAGCUGAGAGUAAAUUCACCAUAGCUGGCUAUUGAGCAUUCAUUCACUUACAACAUGUCUUUCUUAAAGGUUAAACGAGCAGGUUAAAAGGCACCAACAUAUUCUGACAAGACCUGACCAUGAUAUUUAAAUAAUUGAUGAUAACUCAUUGACUAGCUAGCUAGUCUCAUCGGAAUUCGCUAGCUACUACCGUUACUAGGUUACCUUGGCUGGCUUGUUAGCUGGUGUACCAAUAUUAUCGUAUGACAAACACGGGUUCAUCCAACGCAGCUCUUUAAAUAAUUCAAAGUAGCAGUUGCCACUGCUAGAAAUACAAUACCGUUGGAUCCGUGUAUCUAUUAACGUUACAGGCCUGUUGAAUGACCCAUCUUCGCCGUAGAGGCGUUAACAAAAAACUGUCGAACGUGCAGUAGCUAGCUAACGUUACGACUGGCUAUCUAAUUAGCUAGCUAAAUCUGUUUAGCAACUGAUUCUCGUUCAAAAUGCUUAGAUUACUUGAUCAAUACAGCCCACGAGAGUAUAUUGAAAACUUCAAAAGGACAAGGCAGGAGAGGUUUUGGGGGUUUUAGGUGAACUGGCUAGCCAGGCAAGAUUAGCUAGCGCGGUUAGUUAGCUAACCUAAGCAACCAAUGUGUCGCAUUUGACCUAACUAGCUAAAUUAUUAUUAAUGGUCCUGACCAGGCAGCGAAACAAUCAUAUUUCAGUUUCUAUACACUGCGUCUUCAGUCGAAACUUAAAGGAAUGUCACACACUGCACCACCGUACAACUCGACAACCCACCUCCAACUGGGUAAAAUAACAAGUUAGCCAAGCAGACGGUUAUUCCCUGUUCAGAACCGGUUCCGAAGGCCGGUGGACGUCAAACACUUCACAGCGAUGUCGUCCCGGGAUUGAUGUUUCACUAAUCCCUUCUCUGGUUUCUCUCCAAGCGGACAUUCGCACCGGAAGCGUCGUAGCUGUCUGCCACGUCCACAUCCGGACAGAUCCAACACCAGCACCAAUCCAGAUCCCGGGAUCCAUUACCAGUCCCAGCACCAGACGAGGAACGGAGGAGGGGACAGACCAGACCUUCACCCGGAGCGAGCAGACCACAGGGUAGUGCUACCAUUGACCUCUGGGUCUAGGGUUCCCUUGUGUGUCUGAUUGGUCCUCAGGUUGUCUUUCCUCCCCUCCACAGACCCAUAUCCUGACCCAGAACCUGCAGCAGCCCCAGUUCGCUGUUCCUGUUUUUUUCCCAGUCCCCAGCACCAGCACCAACCCCUGGUCUCCAGUCCCGGCCCCAGCACCAGCACCAUCACGAUUCCCAGUUUCCAGCCCAGCCCAGCCCAGACCCCACCCCUUCCCCACCUCCAAUAAAAGGACACAGACAGACUGGCAGCCACUCCGCCAGACCAUCCACUCAAGCAAAAACGUCAAAACUCAAACAAGCAAAAUCUACUCUCCAAUGAACACUAUCAAAUGAAGACAGACGGCUAGUAAUAGUUUGAAUUUUGGUUAGAAGUUUUUUCCUUUCUUUUGUAAUGAGGCUUUUUUUAUUUUCAUGUAAUAACUGAU